This is a non-coding RNA of Hibiscus syriacus, 73 nucleotides long. The record is from the annotation of a RefSeq genome assembly. NCBI's taxonomy places the organism in Eukaryota, Viridiplantae, Streptophyta, Magnoliopsida, Malvales, Malvaceae.
GAUGUCUUAGCUCAGCUGGUAGAGCGCAUAGCUUUUAACCAUGUGGUUGUGGGUUCAAUUCCCACAGACAGCU